CCUGCUUCAGCCUCCCAAGUAGCUGGGAUUACAGACGAACCAUCAAACAGGAAAUGCUGCUCUCCAACCUGCCCUUGCAGCCAAGGUCCAAAGAAGUGAUCAUUAGUGGAACUUCUCCCUGGACUCUCAGUCAAAACCCUUAAUGAGUAACCUCAGUCUCCAUAAUCUGUCCAAAAUUGAUGGCAGCCUUAAAGUCUAUUCUUGGCUUUCAGAGUCUGCUGACCAAGGAA
Long non-coding RNA from Sapajus apella (tufted capuchin), 230 nucleotides. RefSeq lists it as uncharacterized. The record is from RefSeq and is a predicted model, not a curated record. The transcript is spliced from 2 exons. NCBI's taxonomy places the organism in Eukaryota, Metazoa, Chordata, Mammalia, Primates, Cebidae.